Molecule: microRNA precursor, 207 nt
Organism: Oryza rufipogon (brownbeard rice)
Lineage: Eukaryota; Viridiplantae; Streptophyta; Magnoliopsida; Poales; Poaceae
Rfam family: MIR812 microRNA precursor family
Source: Rfam
AAAGACUCGAUUCCUAGGUUUCCGUGUCUAACGUUUGACUAUCCGUCUUAUAUGAAAUUUUUUUAUAAUUAGUAUUUUCAUUGUUGUUAGAUGAUAAAACAUGAAUAAGACUUUAUGCGUGACUUAUCUUUUUAAAUUUUUUCAUAAUUUUUUUAAAUAAGACGGACGGUCAAAUGUUGGACACGGAAACUCAGGAAUUGAGUUAUU